This 431-nucleotide ribosomal RNA is filed under the name uncultured bacterium. Its description in RNAcentral is "partial 16S ribosomal RNA". It matches the Rfam family "Bacterial small subunit ribosomal RNA", at positions 29 to 507 of the family's 1533-position model. The record is from RNAcentral.
AACGAACGCUGGCGGCAGGCCUAACACAUGCAAGUCGAGCGCCCCGCAAGGGGAGCGGCGGACGGGUGAGUAACGCGUGGGAAUAUGCCCUUUGCUACGGAAUAGUCUCGGGAAACUGGGGGUAAUACCGUAUACGCCCUUUGGGGGAAAGAUUUAUCGGCGAAGGAUUAGCCCGCGUUGGAUUAGGUAGUUGGUGGGGUAAUGGCCUACCAAGCCGACGAUCCAUAGCUGGUUUGAGAGGAUGAUCAGCCACACUGGGACUGAGACACGGCCCAGACUCCUACGGGAGGCAGCAGUGGGGAAUCUUAGACAAUGGGGGCAACCCUGAUCUAGCCAUGCCGCGUGAGUGAUGAAGGCCUUAGGGUUAUAAAGCUCUUUCAGCUGGGAAGAUAAUGACGGUACCAGCAGAAGAAGCCCCGGCUAACUCCGUG